GGGCGUGUGGCUUAGGGGUAUAGCGCCUCAUUCGCAUUGAGGAGAUCCCCGGUUCGAUUCCGGGUUCGUCCA
Non-coding RNA from Geopyxis carbonaria, 72 nucleotides. The record is from the annotation of a GenBank genome assembly. Lineage: Eukaryota; Fungi; Ascomycota; Pezizomycetes; Pezizales; Tarzettaceae.